AAGUCGAACGGUAACAGGUUAAGCUGACGAGUGGCGAACGGGUGAGUAAUGUAUCGGAACGUGCCCAGUCGUGGGGGAUAACUGCUCGAAAGAGCAGCUAAUACCGCAUACGACCUGAGGGUGAAAGCGGGGGAUCGCAAGACCUCGCGCGAUUGGAGCGGCCGAUAUCAGAUUAGGUAGUUGGUGAGGUAAAGGCUCACCAAGCCGACGAUCUGUAGCUGGUCUGAGAGGACGACCAGCCACACUGGGACUGAGACACGGCCCAGACUCCUACGGGAGGCAGCAGUGGGGAAUUUUGGACAAUGGGCGCAAGCCUGAUCCAGCCAUGCCGCGUGCGGGAAGAAGGCCUUCGGGUUGUAAACCGCUUUUGUCAGGGAAGAAAAGGUUCUGGCUAAUACCUGGGACUCAUGACGGUACCUGAAGAAUAAGCACCGGCUAACUACGUGCCAGCAGCCGCGGUAAUACGUAGGGUGCAAGCGUUAAUCGGAAUUACUGGGCGUAAAGCGUGCGCAGGCGGUUAUGCAAGACAGAGGUGAAAUCCCCGGGCUCAACCUGGGAACUGCCUUUGUGACUGCAUGGCUAGAGUACGGUAGAGGGGGAUGGAAUUCCGCGUGUAGCAGUGAAAUGCGUAGAUAUGCGGAGGAACACCGAUGGCGAAGGCAAUCCCCUGGACCUGUACUGACGCUCAUGCACGAAAGCGUGGGGAGCAAACAGG
RNAcentral lists this ribosomal RNA (715 nucleotides) under uncultured beta proteobacterium. RNAcentral's name for it is "bacterial SSU rRNA". It matches the Rfam family "Bacterial small subunit ribosomal RNA", at positions 59 to 776 of the family's 1533-position model. Lineage: Bacteria; Pseudomonadati; Pseudomonadota; Betaproteobacteria. The record is from RNAcentral.